Molecule: long non-coding RNA, 2615 nt
Filed under: Oryza sativa Indica Group (long-grained rice)
Lineage: Eukaryota; Viridiplantae; Streptophyta; Magnoliopsida; Poales; Poaceae
Description: lncRNA OsIR64_06g0024170
Source: RNAcentral
ACACAUCAAAUCAGGAAGAUCAUAGCACACUUGCACACAGUCUUGAUCAGCAAUGGCAUCUCACAGAGCUGCUGUUUUUGCUGUUCUUACGCUGCUACUUUCAGUAGCUGCAAUUGCAAUGGCUAGGCCAAUCAGAAGAAGCGAUUUGGGCUUGGGCCUUGGCGCCAAUGGUGGGCUAGGUGUAGGACUAGGACUUGAUAUCGGACUAGGUGGUUCCGGCUCGGCAUCUAGUUCAGGCCAGGGCUCGGGUUAUGGGGCCUGGUCUGGGCCAAACGGUGGUUCUUACACUGCGUCAGGUCAUGGGUUGGGCUUGGGCUCCGGAUAUGGGUAUGGAUCAGGAUCCGCGUAUGGAGCUGGUAAUGGGGGCUCUGCUUCGGGUUGUGGCUCUGGCUCAACAUCUUGCUCGGGCUCAGGAUCAGGUUCCGUAGGACUAGGGACAUCGAUUAACGUUGGUGUGGGUGUAGGAGCCAAUGGUGGCACUAACGGCGGGUCAGAUUGCAACACUGGCUCUGGGUCAAACUAUGGCUCUAGCACAGGCUCAAGCUCUGGCUACGGGUCGGGUGGAGUUUCCUACCGCUCACGUGGUCAUGGCGGGUCUUCUAGUAUUGGGUCAGGUUCGGGGGUUGGUUUAGGAGCAACUUCUGGUGUUGGUGCCGGUUCUAAUGUUGGGCCAAGUGGUGGUUGCUCGACUUGUGGUUCUGGUUCUAGGUCGGGAUCAGGUGCGGGUGGGGGUUCAUAUUCUGGAUCAAAUAGCGGCUCGUCAUCGAGUUCUGGCUCUGGUUCAAACUCAAAUUCAAUUGGAGGGUCAGGAUCAAGUUCGGGUGCUGGCUCUGGCUCAAGUGCAAGCUCAGGUUAUGGUGGCUCUAGUUCUGGUUCUAUGUCAGGAUCUGGUUCAAGUUCAUCAUCCGGUUCCACAGGGAUGUCAUAUGGUUCAUCAGGUGCUGGCUCAUUCAGUGGAUCAAGCAGCGGUUCAAACUCUAAUGCCGGCUCCAUGUCAGGUGCAAACUCAGGAGCCGGUUCAAGCUCUAGUGCAUAUGGUGCAUCAGGCAGUGGAUCAAACUCCAUGUCGGAUUCAGGGUCAAGCUCAGGUUCAUCCAAACUAUCCAAUAUAUGGUUAUACAUUUAAGCACAGUUUCUUUUUCUUUUGUAAGGUUUAUAGAUUAUCACGGACAUGUUUCCCAAGCUUUUAAAUGCUGCAUUUUUUUUUAAAAAAACUAUAUAUAAGUUUUUUAGAAUUAAUUUUGAAACAACUUUUAAAUUUCUAAUUUCAUUCGUUUGUACCCUCAUAUAUUAUCAUAAAACCAGUUAAUAUAAUCCAUUAUCCAUUCAUCCAUCCAGCUCAAAAGAACUGAGCGUGACAAAUAUAUGUAUCGCUAACAGCCGCUAAGUUGUGUCUCUAAAUACAAAACAAUCAUACUUAAUAUGCACUGAAUGGUAGCUAUUUAUCUUGCUGCAGGAUCGGUUAGUGCUUCCGGAAGUGGGUCGUCCAACUCUGGUGCAGGUUCAGGUUCCAGCUCUUCUUCAUGGUCCGGUUCUAAUUCUGGCUCUGGCACAAUGUCGGGAAUUGACGCUCCGUCAAGUACAGGAGCAUCGUCUACUGCUGAAUCAAACUCUGGAUCCGCCACCUCUGUCACCGGUGCAAACUCAGGCUCAUAUUCAAGCGCAUGGUCCAACUCCAACUCCAACUCCGGCUCGACUAUGCCAUCUGGUAUAGGGGUUGCUUCUAAUGCUGGCUCUAGCUCAGGUUCUUGGUCUAAUGCUGGCUCAAACACUGGCACACUCUCUGGGGCUGGAUCCUCUAACUGGUCAAGCUCGACGUCCGGGUCUACCUCAAGCUCAGGUUUAGGUGGUGGGCAAGGGGUUGGAAGCAGAUUCGGUUCCGGAGCCCAACCGACUUUUGGUAUGGGUGGAGGAGGUGGGUUUGGAGCGGGUCACGGAUUUGGAGCCGGAGCCGGAGGUUGGGGUAAGCACCAUUAAGAUAGGGUCUUGGGCAGAUUCUUAUAUAAAAAAGAAGGGGGUGAGAGUUUUGGAUCCCCUUGCUCUCAUGGUUGAUUUACAUGUUGUAUUGAGUUCCCUGGGAAUAAGCGAUCAUCAGUUUUCAGUACGCUCAGUUCCUCUUGUACACUAGCAGUAGCUGCUCUUUGUUUCCAACAAAAUGCUUGAAUCGUUGUGGUCAUCGUGACGGAUCAGUACGUACUUCUUCAUAUGUACCGGCAGAUGCUAUCUUGGAAUGAAAUCAUGAAAUCUUUGUGACCAUUUUACUUCUGGGGGAUGAUGUCCAGUUCCUCGCAACAAAUACAGACGUUGCUUGAACGUGCGUGCAACACAACCCACCACGCACGAUUCCCAUCACUACGAUUAACCCCGACACGUGACACACACACACACACACCAACCCAUCACACUUUGCUUGUACUUUGGACGAAAAAAAGAAAAGGAGAGGAGAAAACCCAACCAAAAAGCACCCAAACCUACCUGCAUUUUGGGGCACCGGCGCCGCACGCGCGCGCACCCUGCCGAUCCACCGAAGACAGCACAGAGGCACGCAAGCACCGCACCGCACCGUCCCCCUGAUCACCCCUCCCCCUCCCGCAACGUGAAAAUGCCGGAAAAAC